AGAAGGUAGUAUGGAGAUUCGCCAAUAGUCAAGCAGUCUAUCAGUUUUUGACUGCUGGAAUAUAAACAACUGCAAGAAUACACCGUAAAUCUAUAUGGAUGUCCUUCGACUGCUUGUCGAAGUCCUUUUUGCCCCAGCCGGUAGGUCUCUAGACGUUACAGAGAACCCCAAACAAUCCAAUCUGCUAAUCUCCGAUACCGCUUUGUACUUACGAUCUUGUAUCCACUGACUGUCUUGUUAGAUUAACCCAAUAAAUUUCAUGCACUCCGCAUACUCAAUCCUAUAUACACCCUUUUAAUUCUUCAAUCACAGACGUAACUCGAUUUUACAAAACAGUCAAGAGUAAUCAAACCCACUUCAUUAAAAAAUCCCGAUUCACCAUUACAACACUGACUUCAGCAACGAUUGCCUCAGUCUUCCCAAAAUCCUAUGAAGAAAAAAAAAACCCAAUUCUCUGUCUUCUUUUUCCGC
Molecule: long non-coding RNA, 471 nt
Filed under: Physcomitrium patens
Lineage: Eukaryota; Viridiplantae; Streptophyta; Bryopsida; Funariales; Funariaceae
Description: long non-coding RNA (PPAT_LNC007610)
Source: RNAcentral